GUGCAGCUGGUGGAGUCUGGGGGAGGCUUGGUAGAGCCUGGGGGGUCCCUGAGACUCUCCUGUGCAGCCUCUGGAUUCACCUUCAGUAACAGUGACAUGAACUGGGUCCGCCAGGCUCCAGGAAAGGGGCUGGAGUGGGUAUCGGGUGUUAGUUGGAAUGGCAGUAGGACGCACUAUGCAGACUCUGUGAAGGGCCGAUUCAUCAUCUCCAGAGACAAUUCCAGGAACUUCCUGUAUCAGCAAAUGAACAGCCUGAGGCCCGAGGACAUGGCUGUGUAUUACUGUGUGAGA
RNAcentral lists this long non-coding RNA (291 nucleotides) under Homo sapiens (human). RNAcentral describes it as "non-protein coding lnc-BRF1-42:7". Lineage: Eukaryota; Metazoa; Chordata; Mammalia; Primates; Hominidae. The record is from RNAcentral.